Long non-coding RNA from Alosa sapidissima (American shad), 348 nucleotides. RefSeq lists it as uncharacterized. NCBI's taxonomy places the organism in Eukaryota, Metazoa, Chordata, Actinopteri, Clupeiformes, Clupeidae. The record is from RefSeq and is a predicted model, not a curated record. The transcript is spliced from 2 exons.
CGGGAUGAUAUUUGAUUAGUAUUAGAACCGGCCCGCAGGCCACAGCCGCCUGCUGCUGUUUUGCGCAUCAAUACUCCAUUCCCCACAAUGCAACUGUAGCCCACGAACUCACUGCGAACUGUCCAGUUCAUUUUCAGCAACAGUUCAGUCAGACCAACGGGGGUGUUCAGCUCUCUGUCAAGUUCACUCCUCCUUAAUGGUGCCACUUCACUCUGCUACUGGAUGGUGGAGGGCUAACUGCGAACGGGUGGUCUAUGAAUGCUAUACUGAAUGGAUGGCAGGGAAGCACAACACACGUGAAUUUCUAAAUGAAGAAGAGUUAAUAAAUGCACUUGAUUUUCAAACUGA